UAUCAGCACCCCGAGUGGUCGGGACGUUUUAUUGGGCCUAAAGCAUCCGUAGCCGGUUCUACAAGUCUUCCGUUAAAUCCAACUGCUUAACAGGUGGGCUGCGGAAGAUACUAUAGAGCUAGGAGGCGGGAGAGGCAAGCGGUACUCGAUGGGUAGGGGUAAAAUCCGUUGAUCCAUUGAAGACCACCAGUGGCGAAGGCGGCUUGCCAGAACGCGCUCGACGGUGAGGGAUGAAAGCUGGGGGAGCAAACCGG
This 254-nucleotide ribosomal RNA is filed under the name uncultured bacterium. Its description in RNAcentral is "partial 16S ribosomal RNA". It matches the Rfam family "Archaeal small subunit ribosomal RNA", at positions 474 to 727 of the family's 1478-position model. The record is from RNAcentral.